RNAcentral lists this ribosomal RNA (609 nucleotides) under Escherichia coli. RNAcentral describes it as "partial 23S ribosomal RNA". It matches the Rfam family "Bacterial large subunit ribosomal RNA", at positions 321 to 934 of the family's 2925-position model. The record is from RNAcentral. Lineage: Bacteria; Pseudomonadati; Pseudomonadota; Gammaproteobacteria; Enterobacterales; Enterobacteriaceae.
UGUGUGUGUUAGUGGAAGCGUCUGGAAAGGCGCGCGAUACAGGGUGACAGCCCCGUACACAAAAAUGCACAUACUGUGAGCUCGAUGAGUAGGGCGGGACACGUGGUAUCCUGUCUGAAUAUGGGGGGACCAUCCUCCAAGGCUAAAUACUCCUGACUGACCGAUAGUGAACCAGUACCGUGAGGGAAAGGCGAAAAGAACCCCGGCGAGGGGAGUGAAAAAGAACCUGAAACCGUGUACGUACAAGCAGUGGGAGCACGCUUAGGCGUGUGACUGCGUACCUUUUGUAUAAUGGGUCAGCGACUUAUAUUCUGUAGCAAGGUUAACCGAAUAGGGGAGCCGAAGGGAAACCGAGUCUUAACUGGGCGUUAAGUUGCAGGGUAUAGACCCGAAACCCGGUGAUCUAGCCAUGGGCAGGUUGAAGGUUGGGUAACACUAACUGGAGGACCGAACCGACUAAUGUUGAAAAAUUAGCGGAUGACUUGUGGCUGGGGGUGAAAGGCCAAUCAAACCGGGAGAUAGCUGGUUCUCCCCGAAAGCUAUUUAGGUAGCGCCUCGUGAAUUCAUCUCCGGGGGUAGAGCACUGUUUCGGCAAGGGGGUCAUCCCGA